RNAcentral lists this ribosomal RNA (222 nucleotides) under uncultured bacterium. Its description in RNAcentral is "partial 16S ribosomal RNA". It matches the Rfam family "Bacterial small subunit ribosomal RNA", at positions 109 to 334 of the family's 1533-position model. The record is from RNAcentral.
AGCAAUGCUUGGGAAUAUGCCUCAUGGUGGGGGACAACAGUUGGAAACGACUGCUAAUACCGCAUAACGUCUACGGACCAAAGGGGGGGAUCUUCGGACCUCCCGCCAUUUGAUUAGCCCAAGUGAGAUUAGCUAGUUGGUGAGGUAAUGGCUCACCAAGGCGACGAUCUCUAGCUGGUUUGAGAGGAUGAUCAGCCACACUGGGACUGAGACACGGCCCAG